UUCGACGAGCAGGUGUCCACACACUUUAGGUCAUGUAGUGUACAUGUUGGCAAGUAUCCGGCCAGCAACGUUCACUUGUCAGCGGCAACAGCUUUCACAGGCUCAUCAUUUGUACAAAUACAGAAGGUAAAACACUUCAUUAUUUUGAUAAAUUGUUUCACAAUUGGGUUAUCACAUUUGUGUAAACUGACAUUAUUUUCUACUUCUUAGAUGCAUAUAAUGUCCAGGGCAUAACCUAUUCUGGUGGAACCAACCUGAUCACUGUGUUCACCAUUCUAUUUCACUUCACAUCUUAUGAUAUCUUUUUGUGAAAAAGAAAGGUGAACGCAGUGAUAAGGUUGGUUACACCAGGCUAAUCAUAACCUCCAUUGGUAAUGUAAUCAGUGCUUUGUGUGUGUGUCUUUAUGUGUGACAGACCAGUAUCUUUGAUGAGCGGCCAGGAGCUGAUCCAUGCUCAUCAAUGGGGCUCUGGCAAAGAGCCUUCAUCCUCACCUCUUUCUUGCCUGUUCACCAACUGUUGUCCAUGGAGAGAACAGAAUUAAUACAUGAGAUGCAGAGAGGCCUGGCACUCAACACAUCCACUCAACACAUUCACAAUGAGGUGAUUACUAAUAGUACAUUACAACACAAAUGUCCAGUAAUAGCAACACCCUUUUCAUUCCAUGUGUCACUGCUGAAAUCUGCCAAUUUCUACAGAUGGACAGGAGGUGCUUUUGCCAGACGGCAGCCUCAGUCAUUUGAUGGGGAGACCAUAAUUGAGUAGGUUUUAUCUGACCUGUUUAAACUUCAGCAUUGUGCCUGUUUGUGUGUCAUAUAUUACCAAUCCUAUCUGCCAUAGGUAGUUGAACAGUGACUAUGUGUGUAUGUGUUCACAGAAACAUGCAUGGGGCAAACCUUGUGUAUUCUGCACCAAGAUCAGGGAACAUGGGGAAGGUAGCCCUACUACCACUAGACAAAAUGCCAAUAGGCACAGUAUCUGUAUCGGCUAGGAAUAACAAUGAAAGAUGAAAGGUGCACAUCAAAUAAAAUAACAUUUUAUUUGUCACAUACACAUGGUUAGCAGAUGUUAAUGUGAGUGUAGCGAAAUGCUUGUGCUUCUAGUUCCGACCAUGCAGUAAUAUCUAACGAGCAAUCUAAUCUAACAAUUUCACCAGAACUACCUUAUGCACAAGUGUAAAGGAAUGAAUAUGUACAUAAAAAUAUAUAAAUGAGUGAUGGCUGAAUGCCAAAAACAAGACUCAGUAGAUGCUAGAGUACAGUAUAUACAUAUGAGAUGAGUAAUGUAGGGUAUGUAAACAUUAUAUAAAGUUGCAUUGUUUAAAGUGGCUAGUGAUACAUUUAUGAGAGCGGGGUGAACAGAAAGUGCCUGUGGUUGUUGUCCUUGAUGAUCUUUUUGGCCUUCCAGUGACAUUGGGUGGUGUAGGUGUCCUGGAGGGCAGGUAGUUUGCCCCCAGUGAUGCGUUAUGCAGACCUCACUACCCUCUGGAGAGUCUUGCGGUUGUUGGCAGAGCAGUUGCCGUACCAGGCGGUGAUACAGCCCGACAGGAUGCUCUCGAUUGUGCAGCUGUAAAAGUUUGUGAGUGUUUCUGGUGACAUGCCAAAUUUCUUCAGCCUCCUGGGGUUGAAGAGGCGCUGCUGCGCCUUCUUCACCAUGCUGUCUGUGUGGGUGGACCAUUUCAGUUUGUCCGGGAUGUGUACGCCAAAGAACUUAACUUCCCACCUUCUCCACUACUGUCCCGUCGAUGUGGAUAGGGGGGUGCUCCCUCUGCUGUUUCAUGAAGUCCACGAUCAUCUCCUUUGUUUUGUUGACAUUGAGUGUGAGGUCAUUUUCCUGACACCACACUCCGAGGGCCCUCACCUCCUCCCUGUAGGCCGUUUCGUCGUUGUUGGUAAUCAAGCCUACCACUGUAGUGUCAUCUGCAAACUUGAUGAUUGAGUUGGAGGCGUGCAUGGCCAUGCAGUUAUGGGUGAACAGGGAGUACAGGAGAGGGCUGAGAACGCACCCUUUUGGGGCCCCAGUGUUGAGGAUCAGCGGGGUGGAGAUUUUAUUACCUACCCUCACCACAUUGUUAUAUUAGCAGAACACUGCUUCUAUGGUAUAAUGUAAAGGGUUGUUUAUUGUACAUGGACUUGUUCCUACAUUUGAAAGUUAUCAAAACACUUAGUUUAGAAUAUAUUUUUACUUAUAACUCAUUGUGUUCCUUGUGUAUUCUUUUUCUGUAAUUUUUCUCUGCAUUGUUGAAGGGCAUUUCACUGUUAGUCUACACCUGUUGUUUACGAAGCACGUGACAAAUAAAACAUUAUUAUUAUUUUUUUGAUCUACAUAAAUUCAGCAAAUGCAUUCUUAUUUUACUCUGUAGGCUACUGACCUAUUCAAAGCUUCAUCUGACAUCUCACCUUACAUCUGCCUGUAGUUAUUUAACUCAACCUGCAGGAGGUUUGUUUGUUGUGAUUGAUUGUGGGAGGGGCAAGGUUCUGAUAGAUGGGUGUAUCUUGGUGGUGGUAAGGACACCUAAG
Oncorhynchus tshawytscha (Chinook salmon) is the source of this 2517-nucleotide long non-coding RNA. The record is from Ensembl. NCBI's taxonomy places the organism in Eukaryota, Metazoa, Chordata, Actinopteri, Salmoniformes, Salmonidae.